GUACAGGUUUUUGUUAUUCUGUGAUUCCUGUGUUCGAUUUGGGGAAAUAGAAAUCAAAGUUGGAUUUGGUUCAUUAUUGAGGUUCAUCGAGACCGUGAAGCAGCUUCCCUCGAAAGAUCCCAUUUGAAAUAAAAUUGAGGUCCAAAUUCUUCAACUAUAUCUCUUUUCAUUUUGUCUGUGAUGUCAUUGAUUUGUGUAAUUCAUGUUUGAGUUUGAUGGUUAAUUUGUGAUUGUGUGUUUGAGUUUUUUUAAUUAUCACAGUUUUAUUGGUUGAUUUAAUUGAGACUUAUUUAAUCAUGUUGGUUGAAACAAAUUUGGGGACAGGAAUCGAAAAUUGAUAAAAGUGAAUAUUAUGAUUUUUUUGAUA
Capsicum annuum is the source of this 367-nucleotide long non-coding RNA. RefSeq lists it as uncharacterized. The transcript is spliced from 2 exons. Lineage: Eukaryota; Viridiplantae; Streptophyta; Magnoliopsida; Solanales; Solanaceae. The record is from RefSeq and is a predicted model, not a curated record.